GACAGGCCCUAUCGAAGCUGUCUGGAGUUAUAUACUUCAUAACAGUCAAAAUGAGGCCGAUAUUGAAUCUUUGAUAUUAUGGUCGCAUCGUGAUGUAUUACCGCACUAUGACGCACGGUGCAUUACCCAUAUCAAAAACAAUA
Vanessa tameamea is the source of this 143-nucleotide small nucleolar RNA. Lineage: Eukaryota; Metazoa; Arthropoda; Insecta; Lepidoptera; Nymphalidae. The record is from RefSeq and is a predicted model, not a curated record.